This is a long non-coding RNA of Limulus polyphemus (Atlantic horseshoe crab), 498 nucleotides long. RefSeq lists it as uncharacterized. The transcript is spliced from 2 exons. NCBI's taxonomy places the organism in Eukaryota, Metazoa, Arthropoda, Merostomata, Xiphosura, Limulidae. The record is from RefSeq and is a predicted model, not a curated record.
UCAGUGGAAGCAAGCGCGAGUGCAAACACGUGAUCACGCCACGCCCGAACCGCCAGACAACUGGUUACGUAGUAGUCAGGUCACGUGCGCUCGAGACACGGCACUGCCUGAUCGAUAUGUCUGCUCCGAGUCAAAGUUACCUCACCGUCCUAAAGUACUGAUAAGUGCUUUAAUAGAGAUACAUUAUCUGUUUGAAACAUCAGAAGUCCACUGAAGCCAUUCCCGUACGCUGGAAUUAUUCUAUUAUUCCCCGGAGGACGAGUUCGUGUCACAUGGUUUGUAAGCUGAUUAAGCCCUCGAAAUACUGAUGCCAAUUCAUGUGUGAUUAAUCGAAUUCUAAGAGGAGAAAGACAACGUCAAGUUACACAGACGGACUAAAGUAGUAUUGUACGAGUUGAUGAAUUAUUGUCUAAAUAAUUGAAAUUCGAUCUGCCCAAAUGUAGUUUUCUUCUUUGACUUUUCUCCCACAAAUAUAGCUGAAUGAGCAAUAAUUAAUUA